AGGCCAUUUCCAAGUGGGCUUGUGGAGCUGUGAAACAAGGACCUCUUAACACUAUGACCAGAGAUUGAAGUUCUCUUGAGGAUGCCACAGUCACUUAAUAGAGCUAUGUGCUCCUAAAAAGAUGUAGCC
This is a small nucleolar RNA of Balaenoptera musculus (blue whale), 129 nucleotides long. NCBI's taxonomy places the organism in Eukaryota, Metazoa, Chordata, Mammalia, Artiodactyla, Balaenopteridae. The record is from Ensembl.